AUGUGGUAUCUCCGUAGGGGAGUUGUGCUAACAAAAGACAACCUCGCACGACGCAACUGGUCGGGAAGUAAGAAGUGUUGUUUUUGUACUCAUGACGAGACAAUUAAACACCUCUUUUUUCACUGUAAGUUUGCGCGUUCUACGUGGUCAGCCAUCCAAAUAGCGUCAAAUUUGUAUCCGCCCACAAGUGUUGCCAAUAUUUUUGGUCAUUGGCUGGACGGUAUUUCAAAUGCAUACAAAACGCUAAUAAGGGUGGGAGGGUAUUACUUACUAUGGUCGCUUUGGCUAUGUAGAAAUGAUGUUUUUUUUAAUGACAAAACUGUUUCUCCUUUGCAGGUUAUUUUUCGUUGUACGCACUCGCUUCGUACGUGGUGUACGCUACAACGGAGUGAAUUGCGAAAAACCACCAUAUUGAAGUGUAGGUUUGCAGGAAAGACUCUUCUACGAAUUUGUGCCAAAAAACACUGA
RNAcentral lists this ribosomal RNA (468 nucleotides) under Triticum aestivum (bread wheat). RNAcentral's name for it is "partial small subunit ribosomal RNA". Lineage: Eukaryota; Viridiplantae; Streptophyta; Magnoliopsida; Poales; Poaceae. The record is from RNAcentral.